Non-coding RNA from Xyrichtys novacula (pearly razorfish), 7752 nucleotides. Lineage: Eukaryota; Metazoa; Chordata; Actinopteri; Labriformes; Labridae. The record is from the annotation of a GenBank genome assembly.
AUGAUGUUGAUGAUGAUGAUGAUGAUGAUGAUGAUGAUGAUGAUGAUGAUGAUGAUAAUAAUGGUGGUUAUGUUGAUGAUGGUGAUGAUUAUGAUGAUGAGGAUGAUUAUGAUGACAUUGAUGAUAAUAAUGAAAGUAAUGAUCAUGGAAAUUAUGAUGGUGAUAAUGACGAUAAUCAUAGCAGUGAUGAUGUUGAUAACGAUGAUAAAGAAAAUAAUGAUGAUGAAGAAAAUGAGGAUGAUGAUGAUGAUGGAAAUGAUGAUGCUGGUGAUAAAUGUAAUGAUGGUGGUGAUGAUGAUAAUGAUGAUGAUAGUGUGAUGAUGAUAAUGAUGUGAUGAUAUAAUAAAGGUGAUUGUGAUGAUUAUGAUGAAGAUGAUGAUUAUGAUGAUGAUGAUAAAAGUGUUGAUGAUAACACUGAUGAUGUGGUGAUGAUGGUAAUAAUGGCGGUGGUGAUGAUGAUGAUUAUAAUGAUGGUGAUGAUAAUGAUAAUAAAGAAGAUAGUGAUGAAGAUAAUAAUGAUAAUGGUGAUGGUGGUGAUGAUGAUUAUAAUGAUGGUGAUGAAGAUGAUGAUGAUUAUGAUGAUAGUGGUAAUGAUGAUGGUGAUGAUGAUGAUGAUGAUGAUGAUGAUGAUGAUGGUGAUGAUGAUGAUGAUGGUGAUGAUGGUGAUGAAGAUGAUGAUGAUUAUGAUGAUAGUGGUAAUGAUGAUGUGAUGGUGAUGAUGAUGAUGAUGAUGAUGAUGAUGGUGAUGAUGAUGAUGAUGAUGGUGAUGAUCAUGAUGAUGGUGAUCAUGAUAAUGCUGGUGAUAAUCAUCAUGUCCAUAUUUUCCAUCCCUUCUUAUUCUGUCAGACUUUUAUGUUCUCUGUCACUUUCCUUCUUUGUCAUAUCUCAUUCAAGGUCCGACUGAAUCACAGCUAAACCCUUCAAACAAGUCCUGGACCUGAUCUGCUUAAAACUCUCACUGCCCAGAUCCAUGAAAUCAAAGAGGACACGGUCUGGAAAUGACUCUCUGAUUUUUUUUACGUUUGGUUUGAUUUCUAUGGAUUUCAAGUAUUUUCAAAGAGGGGAAUCAUAUAUCUUCAUGUUUUACUGAGACACAUGAGUGUUUUAUACACUGAAGGUGUCACAGCAGCUCUGAACCUUUAUGGUUUCAAGACUGGACCAGGAGGUAGGAAGGAGGAGGGUUCGGGGUUUUGAUGUUUCCUCCUUGACUUUGAGCUCAAAUUGAACAUCGAGACUCCAUCAGAAAACAGAUUAGACUGUGAUACACUCGCCUGUGUACACAGUGUGUGUGUGUGUGUGUUUCUGAAGGUCACUGUCUCAUCUUCAGACUCUCAGAGUGAAAUUAGCUGCAGGGUUUUCUGUCUUCUGUGUGUUCCCCGGUGGUCGAUGAAGUACAUACCUCACAGGUCAGAGUAAAGAUCCUCUCGGUCAAACAUGACUGCAAUACGAGUUUGAGGUAAUCAAUCAAACUAUCACUGCAGUGAGUUUUUUUAUACACUGAUAUCAGUGCAGUUUCAGGGGUGAAGACAGACUCUGAAUGCUGAGCUGAUGAACCGUUUGUCACGUGUUUUUAUUGAAGCAUUUGGAGCAGAUCCUUAAAGACAGACGGAAGAGCUUCAUAUCUGCUUCUUAAGUUCAGUUUUCACCGUUUCCUGUUUCAAUUUGUAGUAUUUCCUCCUGCUGUAGUGGGUCUGCUUUACUUCCUGUGUUUUCCUCCUGUUUGAUGAGUGUCAUUUGUCACACCUGUUGCUUGUUCCUUUUUCUCUGGUCUCAGUUCUCAUCUUUGCUUUGUUAGUUUCUCCUUGAACACUGAAACGUUUUCCUGGUUUUGGACCCAAACCAAAUUCACCCGGUCUCCUCCUUUCAUUAGGGUCAGUUUGUUUCUCCAUUUCUGUGCCUGAAAAGUCAAACUACAGUUUUUGGAUUUUUGUUUCUCAUUUACAUACACAGGCAGGAGGAAGCGAGACCUGAAGAAUUUCAGAAUAAAAGCCGAAGGAUUGGCUCAUCAUGGCAUAAACGGUUAAGAAGGCCUGUCAGGUAUCAUUUCAUCUCAUAUCGCUUGUCUUUCCAAAAUACCGUUACCUAAAGGGACCAGAUCCUGUUCUUGGUUUUGGAGCUAAAAUGAUGGUUAUUAAAUAUCAGGAUCCCUGUGAAUGACUUCCUGGUUGUUUUCUGGGUUUUUGGCUUCAGUUGAAAAUUUGAAAAAAGCAGAACUUUUUCUUUUUUGUUCCUUCGUUUGUUGAACUUUUAGCUCUGUCUGCAUUUCUGGGUUUUUCAAUUUGGUUCAGGUGACUUUCAUGACGAGGGAGUUUCUUUCCAAAGGUAGAAAUCUUUUCGUCUUUAUUGUAAAUCUGAAAUAAAACAACAAUUUUAAUCCAAUAAAGUGAACAUGUCUUAUUCUUAUUGGAGUUCCUCUUCAGAGUGGAGAAUGCAGAGUCCAUGAUUUCUUCAGACUGAACAAGACAGCUUGAACCUCAGUCAACCUUAAAUGGAUAUUCCGGCGUGAAAUUAAUUUAGGGUCAAACACACCAACAGUGAGUUAUGACACCCCCUCCAGAGAUGAAUGUUGCCGACCGCUUGCUUCUCUAGUUAUACCAACUUCAGUAACGACCACAGGAUAGCAAUACACAGCGGUCUGAGGAGCCAUAAACAAACCUCAACUACAGUGGGGUGACGCAGCUCAAGGAACAACAUUUAUGAUCAUUUCUUUAUCAUUUCAUUGAAGUAAUAAUCACCAUAUUAAUAAUUUUGCAUUGCCGACGCGGUAGUUCUUCUGCCUUAGCGUCUCGGUGUGAUUGUAUUUCCAUGAAGAAAUGAAACUUGAUUCUGGACAAACCUUUUCUCUGCUUUUCUUUGCUCCAUGAAACAUUCAGAUGCUUCAGUUUCAGAAUGAAAUACAGACUUUAAAAUCUCCAAACAUCCACUUUUCACACCUUCCUUCUUCCUUUUUUCCUUUCUCUCCUUCCCACUUUUUAAUCAAAACAACAGUUUAAAAAGACAGAGAUAAAAUCUCUCUGUGUCCAUUAGAUCAGAGAGGCUGUAGGCUACAUGUGUGUGUGUGAGUGUGUGUGUGUUGCUAAGCUUCUAUAUUAAGCCGUUCAUAAUCCUGCUGCAGAGGAUUUAUCUAUUUUUUUCUUUUUUCUCUGUUUUUUUCUGUUUUGUCAGGAAUAAAAAAAAAUUAGAAGUUUCAGUUUUAUUUUUUCAGUUUUAUUUUUUCUCCUUACUGCUGUUCUACAGUUUUGUCCUCUCUUCCUCAGACUCAUCUGUCCUGCUCACCUGUGAGUCUUUCUCUCUCUCUUUAUCUGAUUUAAGUUGUUUUCUGUCUUUUUUCAUUGAUUUGAUUUUCCACCAUGAUGAUCUUUACCUUGUUGUCCCUUCGAACAUUUUUUUGUGUCCCACCCUCACAGAAACGCAGUGGAGCAGGCCACCUUCCUGUGAUUCAUUUCAGAGCAGUGCCCUCUGUUGGUUGGUGUCAGGAUUAAAGGAUCACAGAGGAGGCAGUGAUCUGGUUGUGGUUUGUAGAUCUGUAGACAUGUUGUGAUGUGCAGCUUCAAAACUUGAUGGUUUGUGAAAUUUUAUUAAAGAGUAAAAGGUAACUGUCAAAAUAAAGACAAAACAUUUAAAUGAUCAUUUCUUUACCAUUUCCUUGAAGUAACAAUCACCAUAUUAAUCAUUUUCCACUGCAGACGCUGUAGUUCUUCUGCCUUAGAAUCUUGGUCUGAUUGCAUUUCCAUGAAGAAAUGAUCAUAAAUGUUCUUCCUUGAGCUGCGUCACCCCGCUGUAGCCUGUAAUGGACUGGCCUGAGGUCUUGCUACAAACAAGCGGCUGCUGGAAGAGAGUGGGUGAGUUCUGUGUAGUAGCAUCAGAAGUUCUUCAUCAGGCUCAUUUUACACAAAGCUAAACAAGCUUUAAUAUUUCCUCAUUUAGAGGAAAGCUCUUCCACAGAUAUCUCAGCACCUCCAGCUUCACUCAUGAGUUUUUCUCAUUUUUCAGAGCUGUGGUCUUUAAAACGUUUUUAACCACAAACUCAGAGUAACCGCAGCUGUACUGGCCUUUACAGCAGAAUUUUACUCUGUUUGGAUUUGAGAGUUGUUUGUACUGUUUGUUUAAUUGCAUGCCUUUUUUAGGCGUAUGUUUGAAAAUUUUGUGUAUUUCAUGCAGGGUAGGAACUCAAAAAAAAAAAAAAAUCUCACUCUUACGCAUUGAAAAAGGUACAUAGUCCGCAAAGAGAUGGAAAAACAAAAAAGAAGUGUGUGUGUGUGCGUGUGUGUGAGAGAGAGAGAGAGAGAGAGAGAGAGACUAGACAAGUGAAUACAAAACAAAAAGGGAUAUAUAGAUAUUACAUAUACAGUAAUGUUUACACACAUACGAACAGCAAACAAAACACAAACGUAUAACAAUAAAGAACACCGAGAGCGCUGCGUAUCAGAGCGCAUAGAGUGCGGGGCGAGACGUUGGUGCGUGACUAUUUAUGAUUGUCUUUAUCAGAUAUUGCAAACAACGGCGGGAAGGGGGCAAGGGUCUGUGUAGUGGGAGGAGAGAGCGAGAGUGCAUGUGUAUGAGAAAGAAAGAGAGAGACAGUUUACAGAGAGACGGGGGGCUAGUAUAACCAGGGGGUGAUAUCCUUGCUGCAGUAUAACUGUCCGUUUAUGUAAAGUUUGUCCACUGAGAUGACUGCUUUCUUUCCUUCUGACAUCAUUUGUUUGCGAAUGGGGAAGAGUUUUUUGCGCCUGUCCAUGAUUUCUUUCGGGUAUUGAUCAUUUAAUCCAAAGUUCGUUCCUUUGAGCUGUUUUCCUUGAUGUUUGAGCAGUUCUUUCUGUUUAAAGUGUUCGAAUUUGGCGACAAUCGGGCGGGGUCUGUUGGUGGUGGUGUUUUUCUGUCCUAAACGGUGAACGCGGUGAAGUGUGACGUUGUUGACUGUGAUGGGGUGGACUCGGGGGUGAGGAUGGAGAUGAGUGUGUGCUGGGUAAGGAACCUGAACGGGGUCUUUUGUAGGCUGGAGAGAAGCUGGAUUUGGUGAAGUAAUAGUCGAUGUAGUCCUCUAAAGGGUCCAGGUCAAUGAUUGAAUGAAGUAGUCCGUUAGUGGAGAUGGAGCCGAAGUUUAUGGGGAGUGAAAAAAGAAGAGCUUGCAGAAAAGGAAAAUAAUAAUAAUGAUUUUGAAGUCCGGAGAGAAAGUUUGUUCUAGCAACUGGUCGCUGCCAUGUUGAGUCGCGCGAGUCAGCCUGCCACGUGAGUCAGCCUGCAAUUUUUCAAUAAACUGCAGUUCUAAUUGCGUCCACUGGAUGACAAUUGUGUUAAGCAAGCAAACUGUUUAUACUGGGGCAGAGCAAGUAAGCAAGCGCAGCCAAUGCGGAUGAACUACUUUGUGUUUUGCCCAAGCUAUUUAUUUCGGCUUCUACUCUAGCAUUAUAUACUUUGUUACCCUCAUUGCCCCAUAGGGAACCGAAGCCACGCCCACUUCCGCGUUAGCGCUAUAGGUCCUAUUGGGAUAAUAGGAGUGAAUGGACAGGUCUAUGGUAUUUUCUGGUCCGCUUUGUUUUACACCCUGAGUCACAAAUAUGUUGUAUUUUAACUUAAAUGAUAACCAUUAAGGUAAAUAAAGGCUAUGUUUGUUGUGUAAUUGUUGAUCUAUUUGUCUUUGAAAACACGUAAAUGGAGAGACUACAGACCUCAAGAAGUCGCGUAAAUGACGUCACGUCAGUAUUUCUACUUCUAGCUAGCUGACAACUCCUCGUUAUCAUUACCAAAAUGCCUGUGUGUUUUGUGCCAGAAUGUCACCAUAAUAGUUCAGCAGGAUGUUCCUUUCGCCGUUUCCCGGCUGAUAAGAAGAAAAGGAGUCGGUGGAUUCAACUAAUCAGGUGAGACUUACAUGAAAUGCGUCGUCUGUCAAAGCUUAGACAGUGACGCAAAAAUAGUGCGACGAGCGGUGUAGUUCAUUACGUGGUCUCACUCUAAAUUAAACUGUAGUUAUAGCAACAUGUCUAAAAUCACGGCUUUUUUGAGGUUAAAAUGUAAAUUUAAACAUGAUAAACAUUAUAUGUGAAAUCCACGGCGUAUACCAAAGCGGACCAGUAGUUAUAUAUAUCUGUCCAUUCAUUUUGAUGGGCUCCAUAGGACCGUAUGCUAACCCGGAAGUUAGCAUGACUUCGGUUCCCUAUUAUGUCGCUGUCAAAAAAGAGAAAAGUGGACGCAGAGUGCAGAGUGUUCCAAGAAAAAUGGUCAUACUGCUAUUUUUUCACAGAAUUGAAUAGGAAAGCAGUAUGUUUGGUGUGUUCACAGCAUGUUGCAGUGCUGAAAGAGCAUAACCUUCGUCGCCACUAUGUGAGUCUUCAUGCCGACAAAUAUGACAACUUUCAAGGACAGCAGAGAAAACAGAAGGUGGAUGAACUAUUGUCGGGUCUGAAGAAACAGCAGUCUGUUUUUACUCACAGCCAAGACAUCAGUGACGCUGCGGUGAAAGCUAGCUACCUCAUUGAUAACGAAAUUGCAGUGGCUUCAAAACCAUUUAGUAAGGGGGAAUUUAUAAAAACAUGCAUGGUGAAGGCAGCGGAGAUUGUGUGCCCUGAAAAGCGACAGGCUUUUGCAAAUAUCAGCCUGACAAGAAACACCAUCACAGACAGGAUUUCCGAUCUUUCAGUGGAUUUGGACAGCCAGUUAAAGAACACAGUAAAGGCUUUUAUUGCCUUUUCAGUUGUAAUUGAUGAAAGCACGGACAUUACAGAUGUUGCACAACUGGCCAUUUUCAUCCGCGGAGUUGAUGACACAUUGACCGUCACCGAAGAGUUCGUGGAGAUGGUGCCGAUGUCAAGUACAACGACAGCCGCUGAUAUUUUCACCGCACUUGUCGGCGCCCUGGAGAGGGUCGGAGUGGACUGGUCCCGCGCUGUCAGCCUGGCUACGGAUGGUGCGCCCUCAAUGAUCGGAAAAAAAGCAGGUGUUGUGACAAAGUUCAGAGAGAAAGUGCGAUCUGCAAAUGGAGGACGUGAUUUUUGGACUUUUCACUGUAUUUUGCACCAGGAGGCUUUGUGUUGCAAGUCAUUAAACAUGGAUAACGUUAUGAAGGUGGUCAUCCAAACGGUGAAUUUCAUCCGAUCCAGAAGCUUGAAUCACCGUCAGUUUGACAGCCUUCUCAGAGAGAAAGACCACAUCCAUGGCUUGCCAUACCACACUGAGGUAAGGUGGUUAAGCCGAGGUGCUGUGCUGAGGCGUUUCUAUGACUUACGAGAAGAAAUUGAACAGUUCAUGGAAGAAAAGGGUAAACCGGUGUUAGAAUUUCAUUCCGGAGAAUGGAUGCAGGACCUUGCAUUUAUGGUGGAUGUUACCGAGCACCUGAAUACCUUGAACAAACAGCUGCAAGGGCGCAACAAAGUUGUCACACAGUAUUAUGACAGCAUAUGCGCUUUCAAGUUGAAGCUGUCAUUGUGGGAGACGCAACUCGCCGGUGGUGAUGCAGCUCACUUCCCCUGUCUGCGACAUGUGUGCGCGACCCAACAUGUCGCAGACAUGAAGCGGUUCAAAGAAAAAAUAACGGGAUUGUUACGGGAGUUUGAGCAACGUUUUCAGAUUUUUGGUGAACUGAAGAAAGACUUCAAAGUUGUUUGCUCGCCAUUCACCGUGAAUCCCUCAGAUCUGCCCGUCAACAUCCAACUCGAAAUAAUUGACUUGCAGUGUGAUUCGGAUUUGAAGGGCAAAUUUUCCGCAGCUGGCUUGGACACAUUUUAUCAGAAUCUCUUGCCAGGUUACCCCAAAUUG